UACAGAGGUCUCAAGCGUUGUUCGGAUUCACUGGGUUUAAAGGGCGCGUAGGCGGCUUGGCAAGUGGAUGGUGAAAUCCCUCGGCUUAACCGAGGAACUGCCGUCCAAACUGCUUCGCUUGAGACCGGGAGAGGUGAGUGGAAUUCCCAGUGUAGCGGUGAAAUGCGUAGAUAUUGGGAGGAACACCAGUGGCGAAGGCGGCUCACUGGACCGGUACUGACGCUGAUGCGCGAAAGCGUGGGGAGCAAACGGG
This 253-nucleotide ribosomal RNA is filed under the name uncultured bacterium. RNAcentral's name for it is "partial 16S ribosomal RNA". It matches the Rfam family "Bacterial small subunit ribosomal RNA", at positions 524 to 776 of the family's 1533-position model. The record is from RNAcentral.